Molecule: long non-coding RNA, 907 nt
Organism: Branchiostoma floridae (Florida lancelet)
Lineage: Eukaryota; Metazoa; Chordata; Leptocardii; Amphioxiformes; Branchiostomatidae
Exons: 4
Source: RefSeq, a predicted model, not a curated record
UUGUGAAACAGGCAUGACCAGGCAAAGGCCACACACGUACCACAAUUGAAGCUGCCCAACCUUCUCCCCCUCCCCCUGUCGUCAGCUUAUCUCCACAUGGACCUGCUACAAACUGUUCGGAGAAGGGAAUUUGUAGAGUCAUUGGACGACAUAACGACGAAGGGUCGCAACCCAGUGUAGACUUGAGUAGGCCCGCUGUCAUCCACUGGUGCAAGCCGCCCGCCAUGUCGAAGUCGUGUGCACCGCAAGUUUCUACUCCGUUCUAGCACGUCCAAAUCAAGUUCCUCCUUCUUGAAACUUCGUAGAGUGAUAUAUUAGGUUCUAUGCUAGUCGAGAAAAUAGUACUGUGAGUUCGAGCGUGGUUGUAAUGAGUUAAAUCCGUGUUUAGAUCCAACCGCCCUCCCCACGUCUCCAGUUCAAACUCUUUAACUCAUGGCGGCCACUUGCAUAAUUAAUGAGCAUCGUGACAUCUUGCCAGGCACCAGCACCAAGCUGAAGCUCUGGAGAUAUGCAUGGGAUUUGAUAAAGAAACAGCCAAGUGGAUGCAGAAUUCACAAGACAUCAAACCUAUGGGAAGAACGACUUAAGUGUUUCCUGGAUGAAUAAAGAUAAAAACUUAGGGAAGGUGGACUGAGAUGUACAGCUGAAAGGUGUAGACAGAUACCGCCAUGCCACAGAUCAAGGAGUGGACAGAGGAAAUCUUCGCUCAGCUGAGGAGUCAAAGUAUAACUCUCAGGUCCAAAGGACCUGUUUACUGUGAGGACAGUAGGAGGCAAAAAGCAGGUACAGAGGAAAAUGCAGGUGAAGAGUCAGACAGUUCACAUGAGCAGGAGAAUCAGUCAGAUGAUUCACUGAAAGAAGAGACAAGAAUUCAGGUACCUCUCUGUUUUGAGUAGAACUGACUCAC